Molecule: long non-coding RNA, 2030 nt
Filed under: Salmo salar (Atlantic salmon)
Lineage: Eukaryota; Metazoa; Chordata; Actinopteri; Salmoniformes; Salmonidae
Description: lncRNA (ENSSSAG00000119786.1)
Source: RNAcentral
CUGCAACACAUCUGAACAGUGCCUGGACUGGAAGCUGCUGCAACACAUCUGAAACGUGCCUGGACUGGAAGCUGCUGCAACACAUCUGAACAGUGCCUGGACUGGAAGCUGCUGCAACACAUCUGAACAGUGCCUGGACUGGAAGCUGCUGCAACACAUCUGAAACGUGCCUGGACUGGAAGCUGCUGCAACACAUCUGAACAGUGCCUGGACUGGAAGCUGCUGCAACACAUCUGAACAGUGCCUGGACUGGAAGCUGCUGCAACACAUCUGAACAGUGCCUGGACUGGAAGCUGCUGCAACACAUCUGAACAGUGCCUGGACUGGAAGCUGCUGCAACACAUCUGAACAGUGCCUGGAUGAAACAUACACCUUUAAUGGAGUGAUAUGCAGUGGCCACAUCUGUAGCCAUACAUUUUUUUGAAAGGCUGGUCAUGGCUCACCUCAACACCAUCAUCCCAGACACCCUGGACCCACUCCAAUUCGCAUACCGCCCCAACAGAUCCACAGAUGAGGCAAUCUCUAUUGCACUCUACGCUAACCUUUCCCACCUGGACAAAAUAAACACCUACAUGAGAAUGCUGUUCAUUGACCACAGCUAAGCGUUCAACACCAUAGUGCCCUCUAAGUUCAUCACUAAGCAAAUAUCCCUGGGACUGAGCACCUCCCUCUGCAACUGGAUCCUGGACUUCCUGACAGGCCGCCACCAGGUGGUAUGGGUAGGCAACAACAAAUCCUCCACGCUGACCCUCAAAAUGGGGGCUCCUCAGGGGUGCGUGCUUAGUACCCUCCUGUACUUCCUGUUCACCCACAACUGCGUGGCCACGCACAACUCCAACACCAUCAUUAAGUUUGCGGACGACAUGACGGUGGUAGGCCUGAUCACCAACGACAACGAGACAGCCUAUAGGGAGGAGAUCAGAGACUUAGCAGUUUGGUGCCAAGACAACAACCACAGAGUAUUCUCUCUGCUACCGCAUGGCAAGCGGUACCGAUGCACCAAGUCUGGAACCAACAGGACCCUGAACUGCUUCUACCCCCAAGCCUUAAGACUUCUAAACAAAACUUCUAAAUAGCUAAUCAAAGGGGUUCUUGGGCUACCUGCAUUGACCCCUUUUUUGCACUAACAACUCUAUGCACUCACACUGGACUCUAUCCACACACUCACACAUACUUACACUGACACCCCAACAUACACACACACACAGUCUUGUAUAGCUAACCUUGUGGGGAUACACAAGACUCACACAGACAGACUCAUGCACGCAUGAACAAACAAACAUAGGUACACACACACGUAUGUGACUAACUGGAUUUGAACCUGCUUUCGCAUUGCAAUACAAUGUUAACUCACUGAGCUAAAGCAUGGUCUAAAGCCUGGUUUAAAGCCUGGUCUAAAGCCUGGUCUGAAGCCUGGUCUAAAGCCUGGUUUAAAGCCUGAGCUAAAACCUGGUCUAAAGCCUGAGCUAAAGCCUGGUCUAAAGUCUGGUCUAAAGCGUGGUUGAAAGCCUGUUUUAAAGCCUGGUCUAAAACCUGGUCUAAAGCCUGGUCUAAAGCCUGGUUUAAAGCCUGGUUUAAAGCCUGGUCUAAAGCCUGAGCUAAAGCCUGGUUUAAAGCCUGAGCUAAAGCCUGGAUUAAAGCCUGGUCCAAAGCCUGACCUAAAGCCUGGUCUAAAGCCUGGUGUAAAUCCUGAGCUAAAGCCUGGUUUAAAGCCUGAGUUAAAGCCUGGUAUAUAGCCUGGUUUAAAGCCUGAGCUAAAGCCUGGCUUAAAGCCAGGUUUAAAGCCUGGUUUAAAGCCUGGUCUAAAGCCCGGUUUAAAGCCUGGUCUAAAGUCUUGUUUAAAGCAUGGUCUAAAGCCUGGCUUAAAGCCUGGUUUAAAGCCUGGUCUAAAGCCUGAGCUAAAGCCAGGUCUAAAGGCUGAGCUAAAGCCUGGCGUAAAGCCUGGCGUAAAGCCUGGCCUAAAGCCUGAGCUAAAGCCUGGUCUAAAGCGUGGUCGAAAGCCGGUUUUAAAGCCUGGUCUAAAGCCUGGU